Molecule: long non-coding RNA, 434 nt
Organism: Eriocheir sinensis (Chinese mitten crab)
Lineage: Eukaryota; Metazoa; Arthropoda; Malacostraca; Decapoda; Varunidae
Exons: 3
Source: RefSeq, a predicted model, not a curated record
CUACGGCUGGCCCCUCUCUACUUUUUUUUUAUACAGGAGCAGUCAAAUCUUCCCUGUUCUUUCUUGUCCCGUUAAAAUAUAGUAAAGUGAACGUAACAAUCAUCAUCGGCAUCAUCAGUCAUCCCCCCUGUCAAGUGUCAACACAUCCAUCAGUAUACACGUGAAUCUUGUGUUAAAAGUACGCUUAUCUCUGCGCUCCUGCCUUUUCCUGCUUACUGUUUUCGCUGCAGGUGUGCGCGGCAGGCGUGGGAGCGUUCCCGGGGUUCGUUUUGUCUUGGCAACAUUGAUUGGCUCUUAACAAGUUCUGGAAUCUAGGACACGACUGGAACGGGAACGAACCGGACCGCCACUGCUCUUCCCUUCCAACCAACAACAACAGUAACAACAGCAACAACAACAGUUUGAGCAGGAGCGUUCGGAUGCCACAAACUUCC